This 730-nucleotide ribosomal RNA is filed under the name uncultured Alteromonas sp. RNAcentral describes it as "bacterial SSU rRNA". It matches the Rfam family "Bacterial small subunit ribosomal RNA", at positions 369 to 1091 of the family's 1533-position model. The record is from RNAcentral. Lineage: Bacteria; Pseudomonadati; Pseudomonadota; Gammaproteobacteria; Alteromonadales; Alteromonadaceae.
CAAUGGGGGAAACCCUGAUGCAGCCAUGCCGCGUGUGUGAAGAAGGCCUUCGGGUUGUAAAGCACUUUCAGUUGUGAGGAAAAGUUAGUAGUUAAUACCUGCUAGCCGUGACGUUAACAACAGAAGAAGCACCGGCUAACUCCGUGCCAGCAGCCGCGGUAAUACGGAGGGUGCGAGCGUUAAUCGGAAUUACUGGGCGUAAAGCGCACGCAGGCGGUUUGUUAAGCUAGAUGUGAAAGCCCCGGGCUCAACCUGGGAUGGUCAUUUAGAACUGGCAGACUAGAGUCUUGGAGAGGGGAGUGGAAUUCCAGGUGUAGCGGUGAAAUGCGUAGAUAUCUGGAGGAACAUCAGUGGCGAAGGCGACUCCCUGGCCAAAGACUGACGCUCAUGUGCGAAAGUGUGGGUAGCGAACAGGAUUAGAUACCCUGGUAGUCCACACCGUAAACGCUGUCUACUAGCUGUUUGUGGCUUUAAGCCGUGAGUAGCGAAGCUAACGCGAUAAGUAGACCGCCUGGGGAGUACGGCCGCAAGGUUAAAACUCAAAUGAAUUGACGGGGGCCCGCACAAGCGGUGGAGCAUGUGGUUUAAUUCGAUGCAACGCGAAGAACCUUACCUACACUUGACAUGCAGAGAACUUUCCAGAGAUGGAUUGGUGCCUUCGGGAACUCUGACACAGGUGCUGCAUGGCUGUCCUCCACCUCGUGUCCUGAAAUGUGGGUUAAGUCCCGCA